GUACGUCGCCGCCGUAGUCGCACACGCCAUGUUUUCGUCAUUUCUGCUCAGUUAAUUAACAAAAAAGUAGUCGAUAAUUUGAGCGGUUGCAUGGACGGCGUUUGACCAAUGUUGCUACGUUCACUUAGAAGUCAUCUGUGAUAAAAGGCCAGCUCAGUUCAAAGGCUGAGGCCAAAGGCAACGUGACUCGUCGCAUGUCGUUUUUUUGAAGGAUGCUAAAAGCCCCCGCAAAGCCUGUCAAUCAAAUCAAUUUAGCAUGGAGGCCAGCCGACGAACUUGGAAGUGACGCAUCAAGGCCUGCUGAGCUGGGAACCUUGCAAAGCGGGGGAGAUCAAGCUUCCAGCUCCAACCGUAAAUUCCUAACCGUGAAGUCUUAUCAGCACCAGGGACAACGGACUAAUUCAGACUUAAGGAUUUGGAUGUGGCGGGAAAUUGCAAGCUGCCCUUUGUAUUAGGUGAGUACUUUUACUUUAGUUUUAUUCAACAAAUUCAUUUACUUUACUUUGUAUGCUUUAGGGAUAAUUGAUUUGAAUUGGAAACAACUUGGAAUCUACCAUGUUGGUCUUUAGAGCUACCAGGGUUGUUAAGUCAAGUUCCCUAAACUGAUCCCUACACUGUAAAGGUCCCUAAACGGUUCCCCCAUGCCUACACUGCAAAGUGAAUGGCAUCCACAUCACCUUUAGUUCCCUAAACUGUCCCCCCAUACCUACACUGUUAUCUAAAUGGCAUCCACACCAUCUUUAGUUCCCUAAACUGACUGUUCCCCAUGCCUACACUGCAAAGUGAAUGGCAUCCACACUAACAUUAGUUCCCUAAACUGUUCCCACAUGCCUACACUGUAAAAUGAAUGGCAUCCACACCGCCUUUAGUUCCCUAAACUGUCCCCCAUGCCUACACUGCAAAGUGAAUGGCAUCCACACCGCCUUUAGUUCCCUAAACUGACUGUUCCCCAUGCCUACACUGCAAAGUGAAUGGCAUCCACACCGCCAUUAGUUCCCUAAACUGUCCCCCCAUGCCUACACUGCAAAGUGAAUGGCAUCCGCACCGCCUUUAGGUCCCUAAACUGUUCCCCAUGCCUACACUGGAAAGUGAAUGGCAUCCACUUCACCUUUAGUUCCCUAAACUGACUGUUCCCCGUGCCUACACUGCAAAGUGAACGGCAUCCACAUCGCCUUUAGUUCCCUAAACUGUUCCCCCAUGCCUACACUGCAAAGUGAAUGGCAUCCACACCACCUUUUAGUUCCCUAAACUGACUGUUCCCCCAUGCCUACACUGCAAAGUGAAUGGCAUCCACACCACCUUUUAGUUCCCUAAACCGUUCCCACAUGCCUACACUGUAAAGUGAAUGGCAUCCACACCGCCUUUAGUUCCCUAAACUGUCCCCCAUGCCUACACUGCAAAGUGAAUGGCAUCCACACUGCCAUUAGUUCCCUUAACCGUUCCCCAUGCCUACACUGCAAAGUGAAUGGCAUCCACACCGCCUUUAGUUCCCUAAACUGACUGUUCCCCCAUGCCUACACUGCAAAGUGAAUGGCAUCCACACUGCCAUUAGUUCCCUUAACCGUUCCCCAUGCCUACACUGCAAAGUGAAUGGCAUCCACACCGCCUUUAGUUCCCUAAACCGUUCCCACAUGCCUACUGUGUUAUGUAAACUGCAUCCACACACCCCUUUCCUUAACUGUUCCCACAAGACUACACUGUUGGAAAAAAUGCAUCCACACGGCCCUGCAUUCCCUACAGUGUUCCCACAGGAUGUGAAAUCCACACGGCCCUCGGUGUGAUUCAUGAGAGACGUGGCCUCUCUCCUUGUCCCCGUCAUUACCUGCAGUUCCAUCUUAUCUCUCAGGGGUCAGACCUCGCCCCCCCCUCCGCUCCCCCUAGUGCCAUUUACAUGCAUAUACGUAGAGAGGGAUGUGUGGGGGCAAUUAUCCUUGGCUAAAAAAAAACUGUGUUGUUGCUCCACUGGAGUCUCUCCAAGAGCAGCAGACUGCCAGUCCUCUCUGCUGUCUUAUCAUCCAUAAAGAUGAAAUGAUGGCCAUCAUUAGCGGGCGCCACUAAACGUGUCAUCAUAACACGCCCUUAUGAGCGUACAGGUGACUCCCGGGUUUGUCCGCUAACUUCUGGCUCCCGACCCCUCCCUCAACUGGCUUUCUAACGGCGUUCUGUAGACAGAAGCCAAGUCAAACGUCCGUAAGUAAGAACCCGGGUCACGGUCUGCUGCGUCCCGGCGCUCCCCUCCCUGAAUGCCUUCACGCAGAGAGGCCUUCAAGUGCACACGUGUCAACAUGGAGAUGACUACAAACCAGCGGAAUGAAUGAAUGAAUGAAAAUGAAUGGGCGCUCUCAGACAAAAGCCUUGAUUCAUGCCCGCCACAGAGGUCCUCAUUAGGGAGGACUGGGGGAAGCUCGGCCCAGUCGGAGCAAUUAGCGGGCCUUGUUUAGGUCACAUGUUGUUUGGGUGGAUGGGAGGACGCCGGCUUCGAACUGUGCAGAAAUAGAUGAUGCACUCGCGUCACUGCCACUUCCUUGCCUCCGUGCUCAAAGUGCUUGGGAUUCGUGGGAUUCGAUUGGUCUGCUGCGUUCACGUCGAAGGCGUGCGCUGCUUGGGGAAACUAAAACGACUACAUUAACUUUAGUUAGUGCCGCAAAGCAUGCUGGGGAGCCAGCGAGGCACUCAGUAAAGUAACUACUAUUCCUAAAUGUCACUUUCAAAACUUUCCAGUCAGAAAUUCAUAAUUAAUAUGAAUUUGAGAGGGGAGGGGGGGGUGUCCACGAAGCAAGUCACUGCCUGGGUGUCACUUUCAGAUAAGAUAAUUAAAAAUAAUUAUUUUUAGUAGAACUUAAGUAGAUUUUGUGCAAAAAAUGUUUCAUGUAAUUAGUACUAAAAAGAUACAUAAAUUUAAUCUGUAUUAAAAAUAAAUAGUCUUUUCUCACAAUCUGGGGUCAUAUUAAAAUUUUCUGUGACAUUAUUUAUUUUUAGGGUAUUUUUAAAAAUGUAAUCAUAAAUUUAAUAUACAUACAUUUCAUUAAAUUUGCAUGUUUGCUUAUAUUUUAUCAAAUUGAAGAUACAUAAAUUUAAUAUGUAUUAAAAAUAAAUAAUAGUCUUUACUCACAAUCUGGGGUCAUAUUAAAAUUUUCUGUGAAUUGUUUUAUUUUUAGGGUAUUUUAAAAAAUGGUAUCAAAUUGAAGAUACAUAAAUUUAAUCUGUAUUAAAAAUAAAUCGUCUUUUCUCACAAUCUGGGGUCAUAUAAAAAUUUUCUGUGACAUUUUUUAUUUUUAGGGUAUUUUUUAAAAUGUAAUCAUAAAUUUAAUAUACAUACAUUUCAUUAAAUUUGCAUGUUUGUUUAUACAAAAGUAUACGACAAAUGGACUGCCAAUUACAGAUAAGGCUGAUUAGCAUUAAAGCUACAGACACAUACAUUUAUUAUUAUUAUUAUUAUUAAAGGAAACCAACCCAAGCACUUUGGCGACAGAGGCAAGGAAAAACUCCCCGCAUGUUUGUCAACAAAUCUCUGUAACCCAUGGCAACAGGGGUCAGGUGUCACCCAUGGCGACAGCCACAGUUUACAUUCCUCAUAUAGAUGAGAUGGAGGCGGGGAUUCCCUACCAGCCGUCGCCUCGACAACCAGGACGCAAAGCGCUUAAAUCCAACCAACGUCCCAUUUGUGUCUACGAUGCAUCGCCACGCCCCAGGUGCGCUGAUGGACCCCUCCUCCACGGAUACAUCCGUGUGGACGAGCACACGGCGAGAUCUCCAUGUAAGGCGCGGUGCACGGACUUUGAGUGGCCUGUGGUGGCCCAAAGUGCCAUCGGGGGUCACAGUGAUUGUGAAACAUGCGGGCGUGAUGCAAGGAAGCCAAGCGGGCCCACCAAGCAGGGAGGAGGGAAGAAAAACACACUCCUCCCUUUUCUGUGGCUGUAUUGUCUCCUUUUGAGGCAACACACACACACACACACACAACACACACACUCCAAGAGGUGCGGCAGGAGAAGACCUGGGAGUGUGAUCUAAGGUGCCAUGGAGGAAUUUGAGGUCCGGAGGGGCUGCGGGACCUCCUUCCCGUGGUGGUGAUUAAGCUUCACGAUGGCUUCCACUGUGGAGUUUGCCUACUCGCUGCUGCUGCUUUGCAGCCUGGGAACCAAUCACGUGAUCUCCGGAGGCUGUUUGGGCAAAUGCUGCGGCGGCGGCGGCACCAGAGACAUGAGGUGCACCUCCACGGACUGGAGGAUGGACCGCGGCUACGGGACGUGCUACUGCGACGAGGGCUGCGCCGGGACCAAAGACUGCUGCUUGGACUACUUCACGCUCUGCCCAGCUCAGGCCUGCACAGUGAGCCCUUGGAGCUUCUGGAGCGGCUGUGCCGAGGCGUGCCGGCCUUCCUUACGGCUCAGAAUCCGUCACGUGGAGGAGCGGCCCAGCAACAAUGGAGAGCCCUGCCCCGCCCUGGAGGAAAAGGCCGGCUGCAUGGACUACAGAGACCACCAAGGUCACGCAUGUGGAAUCAGCUCGGGUCCUGCAUUCAUCACCAGCAUGGAGUUUGGCAAAGGGAGGCCCAAGCAUGACAACUAUGGACGUCCUCUUCAUCCUGGUUUCUGUGUGGAAUUCUCCCUGGAGUCGCGCUCCCCCCACUGCACAGUGGAGAACAGGCCCCACACAUACUGGAUGCGCUACUUUACAGAAGGCUUUACGGUGUGUGUGGCGUGCAAUCCGCCCGCCCUGAGCAACAGCAGCGGCGGUUGCCAAGGAGACGGGCAGGAAACGGACAGCGAGGCGGUGCUGCGCUGGCAGGCGGUGGGGAACCCUCGAUGCAGCGGCACGUGGAGGAGGAUCCGGAAAACGCAACGCUGCAACUGCCCGCCGCAGCACAGUUUCGUCUUCAUUUGAUCAACAAGCACUUCUCUACUCUCAUUGGGUACUUUAAGGUUUGGAGUGUGUAAAAAAAAAAAAAAAAACCCAACCAUGACGUUAACACUAAGCAUGGUGCCGGUGCGGCCCUCGAAGUCGUCAUCCAACAGAAUUCGAGACCACUUACCCACGCCGUGACGCUUGACGCCAUCUUUGAGUUUCUUGUCCAAUUCAUAGGUCCAUUUCUUAAAAAAAAACAAAAAGAAUAAAUACCAAAAUAGAGCAGUGUAUUUGUAAAUGCAGGUUAUGGGGCCGCCUUCCAAACUCACCGUAUGUGUCUUCCUUUUUUUGAGAACUGAAGUAUUUGUGCUGUCUGGAAUCGGAGAAAUAAAAGACGCUUUAGACGACAACCAAACAGGACAACGAGAUGCAACGUCUACCUUUUAAAGUCGCUGGUCUGGUGCACAUUUUACUCUCACCUUGUCCUUCCCACACGUCUGCUUUUGUGGACAGAAGUUUACGUUUAGACCUGCUGGGGAAAAAAACAAACAAACAAUUGAAAGCGCACGCCAUCUAGUGGACAUUAAAUGUAAAACAGUGUACAAAUACUGUCCUUCAGCCCGUUCCUGCCUGAUAAGAGUGUCAUUAUUCAUACCGGGUAUCAUCUGUCUGUGGGAGCGGCUCGUCCUCUGGAGCGUCGACAUUGGGUUUUUCCUUGCUGGUGGUCCUGGUGUUUCUUUCCAGCAACCCUGUGAGCAAAAUGUUUACCCUCAUUCAAGUUCAGACUUGAGUGAAAUGUACUACCUUGCGCUGAUGUACUCGGAAGACAGAUGUACGCGUUCUUCAAGGCGGGCUGAAGAUUGUGUUUUGUUCUGCUGGGACAGUGCAAUACAUCAACAACUACACCGGUCACAUAAAACACUUAUUUCCUACUUUGUCUCCUCCUUCUGCGAGUCGUCGACCUUC
Doryrhamphus excisus (bluestripe pipefish) is the source of this 5811-nucleotide non-coding RNA. NCBI's taxonomy places the organism in Eukaryota, Metazoa, Chordata, Actinopteri, Syngnathiformes, Syngnathidae. The record is from RefSeq and is a predicted model, not a curated record.